GGAUCCAGACUUUGAUUAUGGCUCAGGAUGAACGCUGGCGGCGUGCUUAACACAUGCAAGUCGAACGAAGCACCUUAUUCUGAUUUCUUCGGAAUGAAAAAUUUGGUGACUGAGUGGCGGACGGAUGAGUAACGCGUGGGUAACCUGCCUCAUACAGGGGGAUAACAGUUAGAAAUGACUGCUAAUACCGCAUAAGACCACAGCACCGCAUGGUGCAGGGGUAAAAACUCCGGUGGUAUGAGAUGGACCCGCGUCUGAUUAGGUAGUUGGUGGGGUAACGGCCUACCAAGCCGACGAUCAGUAGCCGACCUGAGAGGGUGACCGGCCACAUUGGGACUGAGACACGGCCCAAACUCCUACGGGAGGCAGCAGUGGGGAAUAUUGCACAAUGGGGGAAACCCUGAUGCAGCGACGCCGCGUGAGCGAUGAAGUAUUUCGGUAUGUAAAGCUCUAUCAGCAGGGAAGAAAAUGACGGUACCUGACUAAGAAGCACCGGCUAAAUACGUGCUAGCAGCCGCGGUAAUACGUAUGGUGCAAGCGUUAUCCGGAUUUACUGGGUGUAAAGGGAGCGUAGACGGAGUGGCAAGUCUGAUGUGAAAACCCGGGGCUCAACCCCGGGACUGCAUUGGAAACUGUCAAUCUAGAGUACCGGAGAGGUAAGCGGAAUUCCUAGUGUAGCGGUGAAAUGCGUAGAUAUUAGGAGGAACACCAGUGGCGAAGGCGGCUUACUGGACGGUAACUGACGUUGAGGCUCGAAAGCGUGGGGAGCAAACAGGAUUAGAUACCCUGGUAGUCCACGCCGUAAACGAUGACUACUAGGUGUCGGGCAGCAAAGCUGUUCGGUGCCGCAGCAAACGCAAUAAGUAGUCCACCUGGGGAGUACGUUCGCAAGAAUGAAACUCAAAGGAAUUGACGG
This 916-nucleotide ribosomal RNA is filed under the name uncultured bacterium. Its description in RNAcentral is "bacterial SSU rRNA". It matches the Rfam family "Bacterial small subunit ribosomal RNA", at positions 1 to 916 of the family's 1533-position model. The record is from RNAcentral.